GACGAACGCUGGCGGCGUGCCUAAUACAUGCAAGUAGAACGCUGAAGGAGGAGCUUGCUUCUCCGGAUGAGUUGCGAACGGGUGAGUAACGCGUAGGUAACCUGCCUGGUAGCGGGGGAUAACUAUUGGAAACGAUAGCUAAUACCGCAUAACAGUAGAUAUUGCAUGAUAUCUGCUUGAAAGGUGCAAUUGCAUCACUACCAGAUGGACCUGCGUUGUAUUAGCUAGUUGGUGGGGUAACGGCUCACCAAGGCGACGAUACAUAGCCGACCUGAGAGGGUGAUCGGCCACACUGGGACUGAGACACGGCCCAGACUCCUACGGGAGGCAGCAGUAGGGAAUCUUCGGCAAUGGACGGAAGUCUGACCGAGCAACGCCGCGUGAGUGAAGAAGGUUUUCGGAUCGUAAAGCUCUGUUGUAAGAGAAGAACGAGUGUGAGAGUGGAAAGUUCACACUGUGACGGUAU
Molecule: ribosomal RNA, 466 nt
Filed under: Streptococcus sp. oral taxon 431
Lineage: Bacteria; Bacillati; Bacillota; Bacilli; Lactobacillales; Streptococcaceae
Description: bacterial SSU rRNA
Rfam family: Bacterial small subunit ribosomal RNA
Source: RNAcentral